AAUUUGGUUUAAAGAUGUUAGAUGUUAGAAUCUUUGAUCGAUGCAUAUGUAUUAAAAAAGCAUGUUAAAUAGGCUGCUGUAUAGGACCUGUCGCGACGCAUGCAGCAACGCGUCAUGCGUUGCGAUACGUCUUCCAUUAGCAGGUAGUUUACUGUUUUGCCAUUUUCAAUCUGUCCUUUGAUAUGUGCUAUUCUUGGCAAGAUUUUAAAUGCUGCCAUUUACAAAUUGGUUUAGAAUUUGUUUUUGUUACUAAUUGCAGUUUUUGUGGAUCCUAUUAAGUGAUUUAAGUAUAUUAUUAUUGCAAAAUUCAGUAAAAACAUGAACAUUUCAACUCAUCAGAACAUUUGUAGUUAGUUGAAACAUUUCAGCUCAUCAGAGUAUUUGUAUUCAGCAUAAGCAUAAUAUAGGUAAUUCCCAACAUAUAUAGAUAGAUCCUGAUAUAAAUAAGAUUUCUUGAUUUACGAGAGAAAACUAUUAAUCAAAGCAGAUAAUUAUAAUUCAGAUACAAGAAAUGCUUGAAAAUAUGUUGCAUGGCACAUUAGUUUACAAUCUUUUUUCUAAUUAUGCUAUUUGUUGUAGAUGCAUGUGUUUUGUGUGCUUAUUCUUUAAAGUUGGCUGGGUAGCCAGAUGAUAAAGAAAACAUGAUCUUUGAGGAUCCAGAUUACCUUCUGGCUCCUUCAGUUUUUAAGGAGGAUUCGAGCCUGAUCCAUCGAACCAAAUUCUUCAAACUUCCGGUUGAUCCCAAAAUGGAUAUUGAUCUGCUUGUGAUGAGCUUUAAAAAUGGCUGCUGCUUGAUAAAGUAUAUUCCUCAUAUACUAUAUGGUGUCUUAAGUAAAACUAAAUUAAUCUUAUUCUUUAAUCAUCAGGACUUCACAGUUUCCUAUAAUACCAAGUAAAACAAAUUCUUGGCUGCCUGUAUGAAAUUAUUCUGUUUUUCUGUCCUUUGUGUUUAAUGAAAAUGCUACCUGUAAACAUGAUGUUCCAAGCACUUCUUGCUUUGCUGGUGCUUAGAGCUACUCUGUCUAAUAUAACUAUUUUUGUUGUUAUGUUUUUGUAUAAAUUUAAUAUCAUGUAGGUAUGUUUUGAAUUAUGUAGGAUUUCAGGAAAUGAUCCAUCUAUAUAAGUCUCGGAAUUUCUGUAUAAAUAAAAUGCAAUGUUUGUUUGUUCUACUUAGGUUCCCACAUCAUUUGAUCUAUUGGGACCAAACUUUGUAUAAUGAUUUGCUAUGAUUCCCCAGGUAAUAUAGGCUACUCUGAUAAAAAUCAAAACUGUCUAGCAUCAGAUCUAGAGCUAGACAGUUAUUUUAACUUUUACUACUACUACAAAGAGACAGAAUAUCUAUAUUCUUGGUUAUUUUGGGUCAAGAUUGCUCCAGGGAAUGGACAUUUUGGGAUGGCAACAAAAAUAUAUAUUUAAAUCCUUUACGGCCGUAUUCACCAUCUUGAGUUAUUGGAACAGUUAGAGUUAUAUGAGGAGUUAUAUCUAAAUUCGUAUUCACCAACUUCAUUCCGA
This 1512-nucleotide long non-coding RNA is filed under the name Androctonus crassicauda. Lineage: Eukaryota; Metazoa; Arthropoda; Arachnida; Scorpiones; Buthidae. The record is from RNAcentral.